AUUGAACGCUGGCGGCGUGCCUUACACAUGCAAGUCGAACGGUAACAGGCCUUCGGAUGCUGACGAGUGGCGAACGGGUGAGUAAUACAUCGGAGCGUGCCCGAUCGUGGGGGAUAACGAGGCGAAAGCUUUGCUAAUACCGCAUACGAUCUACGGAUGAAAGCGGGGGAUCUUCGGACCUCGCGCGGACGGAGCGGCCGAUGGCAGAUUAGGUAGUUGGUGGGAUAAAAGCUUACCAAGCCGACGAUCUGUAGCUGGUCUGAGAGGAUGAUCAGCCACACUGGGACUGAGACACGGCCCAG
Molecule: ribosomal RNA, 302 nt
Filed under: uncultured Diaphorobacter sp.
Lineage: Bacteria; Pseudomonadati; Pseudomonadota; Betaproteobacteria; Burkholderiales; Comamonadaceae
Description: bacterial SSU rRNA
Rfam family: Bacterial small subunit ribosomal RNA
Source: RNAcentral